GGUCGGGUGUCCGGGGCGGUGGCAGGCGGGGUCCCCCCCCACCUCGCUGCCGAUAGCCAUCUUCUCCGGGCUGGGGAACCUGCCGCUCGUUCCCGGUGAAUCUUACAUGAUGCAUUGUUUUAGCUGCUAGAAUGACAUGCAGCUCGGCAGAGCAGGGGAGCAGCUUCUCCCCCUCCUUCCCAAAAGCCUCCCCCUAAAUAAAGCGGGACAAGCCUGUACUCUCUUCUGGAGGGAGCCCGGCGAAGUUGUGUCAGGCGUGUAUGUGUGCGUGUGUGUGUGUGUCGGGCUGCCAACCUAGAGGACUUUUCCGGGGAGAGGAAGGGAAGCAGAGAGGGAAGUUCUUUUAUUCCACUGCUUGUUUUGAUGGUCGCUCCCAGGAGGCUGCGAUUUUCUGCUGCCUAGUUAGUGCCCCUUAAUCCUGACUCGGGAGUGACUCAGUCGGCUCUUGCAAGGGGUGAUUAUUUUUUUAUCGAGGGAGGCAGAGGUUCAGACGGGGCUGGGGGUAGCGGUCGAGGUCUCGGAGAGAGGAAAACGCAGCACCUCGGCCGCGGCGAGGGGCAUAGUGAGGGGGAAAAAGGCAGAGCCCGGGGCAGGAGGGAGAAAAGGAGCGCAGCUCGCCCCUGCGGCGAGGUGCCGGCUUGGAAAACAGCGAACUUUCCCUAGAAGAAAGAGGCGAGAGAGUGUGGGCUGCUUCCCCGCAUCCCUCUGGAUCUGCCGGCAGCUCUCCCCAGCCGAAAGUUACCUGCUCUGCAGCAGCCGUGCAGUCGCUCGCUCCUGAAUUAAACACAACUCUUAAUGAUGUAGCAUUAUCAACAAGGGACACUUGAUUGACUGAUCUAGGUAUGAUAUAUGUGCUGGGCGUCUAAAUUAAAUAUUAAGUGAAAUACUUAGCUCUAAUUAGAAAUCGUAACCUAGCAAUGAAAACUUGAAGAAACAAAUUGCGGGGGGAGGAGGGGACAGUCUUUAAACGCGGCAGCGAGGAAAGUAGCGGUGAUGUGUACUGAGGCUGACAUAUUAGCAACAAGCAGCAACUUCGAAAUGAUUGACGUAUCAUUAGAGCCAUCAAGCUGAUUUUAAUAAUUCUUCAAGGAAAAAAAAAAAAAGGAAAGGAAAACAGCCAGGAACCUCGCAGACAAGUUAUCUAUUUUUUCAGCGCAUUAAGCCCGGGAGAAGCAUAAUUAGACAGGGGGGAAACGAAGGAAGGUGGAGGGGAAAUCUGUCGGUGAAUUUAACAAACAAAUGCCCGAAAAGCAGCGACCAUCCAGCUCGGGGCUUCUCUGGGAGACGACAGAGUUGCCAGAGCUAGAUGCCUUCUCCCCUGAGCGUGCCUCCACGAGGUAAACAAGCACACAGUUGCCUCAACUUUCUCCUUUAGUACAAAGUUCCUAGUGCGACGGAAAAUUUGAAUAUUUUAUCAGUCUCUUGUAGUGACCCUCAUUAGGUGGGCAUCCUGCUAAGGCCCUGGCGUUACAAGAAAGCUGCCCAAUCAGAGCAUUUGCACGCCUUGUUAGCGAUAGUUAAUGAAGCUUCCCCAUGCACUCAAAGAAAGGCCCCCUCGAUGUAGAUUUACCUUAUGUCAACUCGUUACUUCUAAUGAAUCGCAUCAAAAUUCUUCCCUGAAUGGGGCAGAGGCGCCCGGAUCGGGAUUCCCCUCCCCGCCCGGCGGAGCCCACCCCUUGCCACCGCCGGCACUUGAGCAGAGCAUCCGAGACCGAGAUUAUGCAAGAAUAGAGUGAAGACUUGUACAAAGAAAAUUCACUGUGUAAACAUCCUGCCCAAGAAAGGAAGGUUCACCCUUACUCCAUGUACAGGAUCUGAGCUUUCUGAAAAGAAAAUUUCUCUUUGAGGACAGCUGGUCCAUGCCCCUGAGGAAAAAGAUGCUUACGGCAAGGCUGAGAAAUUGGAUAUUAAUGUAGGACUGUAAGAGGACCAGAUUUUUUAAUAUCUCUUUCCAGCAGAGCUUCACCAGAUGAAACUAAGUUGGCCAAAGGCAGGUUCUCUUUCACACAGCAUCCUGGGACUGGUACCAGUUGCACAAGGUGCCUGACAAGAGGAGUCAUGAGACUGAAGAGCAAAGUUCUACAUACAUAUACAAAACAUCGCUCUCCAAGCUAGUGACUGCAAUGCUCAGUGUCCUGUCUUUUGCUGUUGUUGCCUCUACAGGCAACCACAGUGAGCCUAGGUGAGAUAACCAGCUUUCUGCCUGGCACACUGCUUUGUUCAUUCUUCUCUAUAUGUGCUGGCAGCUCUGUUAUCCCCUAGUUGCCAAAUUCUAGGAGUGCCAUAGAUAGCUGAACUUUUACCGCUUUCUUGGUAGAGGUAUGCACCCUGUACAUGCAAUUCACCAGGGAGGCAGAUGAGCCAGGAGGAGUCUGACACAGUCUGCAAAUGGGCAGAUCUCCCCAUCUUAUCAUUAAGUCCAAAUCACUUGGUUGAACAGCCCAAGAAGAAACACGGCAUUUUCCCUACCACAUAAAUCCGCUGGGAAUAGCAGUGCAGUGUCUACUCAUAAACCAGCCUCAUACACAGCCUACUUUCUGAGAACUCUGCUUCCUCCAGUGGGGAGACUUCUACUACUUUUAGUGACUUUGGCUCAUGCACAGAUUACAUCUGAUUGCUUCUGUUUUUAGUGAGUGUCUGAUGGAUAGGGUAAGGAGAGAAAUGAUACGCAUAUGCGGUUUUUAUAGCUCUAGUAAGCCUGUAUGAAAAGAUGUGAGUAGUGAGAAGAGGGUUGAAACCCUGCAGGAAAGCUGAACGGGAGAAGAAGAUGUUGAAUACGAAAGUGGAUGGAUGAGAAAGUGAAGACGAUGACACAGAAAGUGACAGAAACAGAAAACGAAAGAAAAGAAAAAGAGCUAUAUAAAGAAAUUGUACAGAAAGAAAAAGAAAAGGCAAAUGGCAAGGAAGACUGAUUGCAUAUUUUGUUGCCUGAAACGGUGUUUGUAGCUGCAAUGUGACAGUACAAAUCAGGCUUGAUUUCGCGGAUAAACACAAUGUGUUCACCACUGGGAAAAGUAUGAGGGAAACAAAUAAGGAAGAAAGAGUAAAUGGUGGGUUUUCUUGAGGAAAGGAGGUUACUGCUGGAGACCCACAGGAAUCUAGGCCGAGAUCUACAUUAACAUGGAAUUACUGAAGAGAGAAAAACUAAAUUGUAUGUGAAGAAUUAAAAAAACCCCCUCUUGAUAGCGCCUGGGUGACAAAAUAUAAGUCAAUAAAUUCUGAUUCAAUAAUGAUAAUGUGUGUAGGGAAAAUAAUACUUCUACAUGGCGAUGAGCACUAAAUUAGCUAUUUGAUCUCAGGAAACACAUGUUGGAGAGCCUGAGGAAGAUGUCAGCCCAGUGCUCAGCAGCAGCAAAAGCAAUUAAGAAUUAUUAGGAAAAUACUUGAGAACAAAUCAGAAACUAUUCUGCUGAUAUAUAGCCUGUGGUAUAUAGUCAACUCAUCUCAAAAAUUGUAUAGGUAAACCUAGAAUAAUACACUAAAACACAGAAGAAAAGGUCAACUGCAUUGAAUGAGGACUAUUUCAAUAGGUAAGAUUUCUGUGUGGACAAGAAAGGACCAAGGGCUAACAUGGGGUGUUAUAUCUUCAGGAGGCAGAGGGAAGGUAAAUCUGAAAGAUUUGUCAUCUAUUUAUCACAACACAGGAGCAAGUGGUAGACAAGAAAUUACUGGGGAACAAACCAGAUGAAGGAGAGUAUUUUUUCACAGACUGAGUAGCUAAGUGUGAGACUCAUUGCCACAAGAUGCUGCAAAGACUUAAAGAUAAGUAAACUUGGAAAAGACUCAGUAAAUUCAUGGAAGGUAAGCCCUGCCACAGCUAUUGAAUGCAGCAUUCGGAUGCAAUAACUGGAUGUAUAACAGCAGCAAAUAAUGAACCACCGCAUAGUUGCUCUGGUUUUCUGGAGACAGAAAAUCAUGAAUAUUUUUUGAGGGGAUGUUGAUCCAGUCUGAAUAGUCUUUUUGACAGUGUAUGAGAUACAAACUAGAAAAGAAAAUACAGUGCUUUUAUGUUUGCAUGGUAUACAGAGUAGCUUUAAGGGAAUUGAGCUAAGUGGGAUGAUGUGAGAAAGAAGCUUGAUUCAUAUUUUUUUGAAGAUAAGGCAGUUGCUUUACCUUUGGCUCUGUUGUAUCUUGGGAAACCUGCUGUACCAGGCCAGUCUCACAUCAUUUCAUGUCCUACUUUCACAAGUCCUCUUUGCUUUGUUGGUUUGAUUAACAUGAUGCUACUUAGAAAAACAUUCAGUGUAAAAUUACACACAUGUAUACAGGAUGGUAAAAUCAACUCGUGUUCCCUAAGUCUAAAGCACAACAAUUUUCCUUCACUGCUGUGUGGAUCAAACAGCUCUAGAGUUUGUGAAGUGAGCAUAAUUUAUUCCAGACUCAAGCUGGAAUAAUUUAUGUUCUUGAGUCUUUGCAGAUGUAUAGUCACUAGAGAGCUGUCUGCCUACUGGAGUUUUUACACAUAUUUUGUCUAAAUCAACGCUCCAAAUGGAACAUCGAAGAUGCAGUGAGUUUGUGUGGAUUUGUAGCACUCCCUGGAGGACUCUGUGUCUAAAAACCAAUAAACAUUUUACAGUUCUCAG
RNA transcript from Cuculus canorus (common cuckoo), 4583 nucleotides. RefSeq lists it as uncharacterized. NCBI's taxonomy places the organism in Eukaryota, Metazoa, Chordata, Aves, Cuculiformes, Cuculidae. The transcript is spliced from 7 exons. The record is from RefSeq and is a predicted model, not a curated record.